This 322-nucleotide ribosomal RNA is filed under the name uncultured eukaryote. RNAcentral describes it as "partial 18S ribosomal RNA". It matches the Rfam family "Eukaryotic small subunit ribosomal RNA", at positions 1470 to 1796 of the family's 1831-position model. The record is from RNAcentral.
CCCUUAGAUGUUCUGGGCCGCACGCGUGCUACACUGAGUGGAUCAGCGGGUCAGGUUGCGCGAAAGCGUUUCCUAAUCUUUAAAUCCGCUCGAGAUGGGGAUUGACGGUUGCAAUUUUCUGUCAUGAACGAGGAAUACCUUGUAAGCGCGGGUCAUCAUCCCGCGCUGAAUACGUCCCUGCCCUUUGUACACACCGCCCGUCGCUCCUACCGAUUGAGUGGUCCGGUGAGGCUUUGGGAUCUGAGCGGAAAGAGCGUUUCGCUGUUUCUGCUCGGAAAACUCAGUCGAACCUUAUCAUUUAGAGGAAGGAGAAGUCGUAACA